This 403-nucleotide ribosomal RNA is filed under the name uncultured bacterium. Its description in RNAcentral is "partial 16S ribosomal RNA". It matches the Rfam family "Bacterial small subunit ribosomal RNA", at positions 30 to 526 of the family's 1533-position model. The record is from RNAcentral.
AUUGAACGCUGGCGGCAGGCCUAACACAUGCAAGUCGAGCGAGCGGCGGACGGGUGAGUAAUGUAUGGGGACUGCCCGAUAGCGGGGGAUAACUACUGGAAACGGUGGCUAAUACCGCAUACUAUCGGAUAACCCAUAUGGGAUUAGCUAGUAGGUGGGGUAAAGGCUCACCUAGGCGACGAUCUCUAGCUGGCCUGAGAGGAUGAUCAGCCACACUGGGACUGAGACACGGCCCAGACGACUACGGAGGCAGCAGUGGGGAAUAUUGCACAAUGGGCGCAAGCAGGAUGCAGCCAUGCCGCGUGUAUGAGGAAGGCCUUAGGGUUGUAAAGUACUUUCGGCGGGGAGGCGUUACCCGCAGAAGAAGCACCGGCUAACUCCGUGCCAGCAGCCGCGGUAAUAC